CCAGCUGGGCAUUCAGAGCUGAGAGUCCACAUGGACAAAUCCCUGAACUGAACAAUGAUACUCACGGGCCCUGCCUAUGCUGUCCCUCAGGCUCACCACCAUCCUCGUUUCCACACUGUACCAAGUCAAGCCCAGCUCCGGGUUUGGUGGAUAAACAGGACAAAGUGAUGACCAGCAAGCUGCCCACCUCCUCCUGGCUAAGAAUAGAAGUUGUUCCAGGUUGAAGGGACCCCCAAACCUGGAGCCUCUCACCUCAUCAGCAGGAAUUUUCCACAUUUGCUGAGAUUUCUGUUUGCCUUCUCCAUUAGCUCAACAGCCUGGGUGGAAAGAUGACUAAGCAGGUUUUCUGAGAUGCUACAAUUCCAGAGAGUGCAAAAGGGGCAUACGCUUUGACUUCUUCGUGGGUCCCUUCCUCUUGGGAGUCUUCUGAUCUUCAGGGAACAGCCUAGAAGAAACGGUGUGACGGACAGUACCUCACCUUCCCAGCACAUAGAAUCACCUGAGAGACAGACCUCCGGGCACGCCCAGCAGGGCCUAGCUUGUGUUGACUUGGGCAGGACUAAUCUCAGCUGUGGGGAGGACCCACAACUGUAUGAAGAAAUCUAGCUGGGCGCUAGCAUGCAAAUGCUUCCGCAGCUCUCUGCUCUGGACUAUGGCUGCAGCGUGACCAGCUCCCUGGGGGCUCUGCUGGCGGCCCUGCUGUGACAGACUGUGCCUUGAACUCUACUUUUCCUGUGGUAUUUUUAUCACAGCAAUAGGAAAAGUAAGACAAAUGGCCUAGUUUUUGAAGUUUAGAGUCCAUUAGAUCUCAGAGGCCAUCUCCCAGGGGUGAGCUCUCAGGGUCCUGGUGACACCCUCACAGAGCCCCCUUAGCUGGAGUACUGGCCCUCAGGUCAUUGUCUAUAGGCAGAGUAAAACUCAGUCUUUCUCUCACCUCUAAACUUGGAAGGCUCCCAUGGACGCCAGAAUUUCUCUCCUGCCAGCUGUCCACGGGCCACGUUAAGGAGGCCAGAAGUUUGAGUUGUGCUCCUAGCACUUAGCCCUAGGGAACCCUUCUCUGACACAACGCUAUAGUCCCCACACCCCAACCAAACUGGAAACAAAAGCAUCUCCAAAGUAGAAAUAAUAGACAAUAGACAAAUAACAGGCAUGCUAACAUACUUCCUUGGCUGUGCUUUAGAGGAAUAAUCACUUUCAGUCAUUGCUGGUAGAGGCUUAAUUGCUAAAAUCUUGGCGCAAGAUAAUUUGGCCGUAUGUAUCAAAGCCACUAACACAAAGAUCCUUUAGUCCAAGAUUCCAAGUCCAAGAAUGGAUUCUGCAACUACACUUUGUAUGUAAUAAAUGACGCAUAUCUGAAACUUAUCACGGCGCUGUUUGCAAAGCCGAAGCAGGAAGUUACCUAACUCAGAAGCUGAGUUGAAUAAAAUAAUGGAUGAUGAAUCAACCAUGUGAUGAAAUACUAUGCAGCUGUAAAAAAGGGCCAGCGCAGUAUUUUCGUACCAUUAGAAAAAGUGCUUCAAGAAAGCGAAGCGACAAGACAGAGCUGUGUGCAAAGGGUAUUACCUUUUGUGAAGAAAAACCACAUUCUUUCCUAUGAAAAAUAGAAAUUUAGAGUUUCACGCCUUCCCUCAAGAAAACAGGGGAGGAAUGGGAAGAGCUUAAGAGUCCUGGAAUGAGCUUGCUCUGCCAAGUAUUCCACCUUUGAACAAGAAGUGAGGUAACAGGUGAAGUCAAGGGCUCUGGACACUCUCGGGGACAAGGGGAAGGCCUGGCUGGCCCCUCACUGGGAUUAAUCUCUGCCUUCAUACUCUAGCCCCACUUCUAAGCUAACCUGAAGGAAUGAGAUUGUCCUGUUCAACGAGGAAAGGGCAAGGAUGGGGCUUAAUGCACAAGAUGUUGAAUUGAGAAAAGCACAGGGAAAAAGAGGCGGCGGUUCUGGUCAUGUCUGUGCCGUGUGUGCACACUGUGAGUGCUUUGAUUCCAGCAAGCGAAGCCACAGGAUACAGGCCUGGGGCACUCUCCUCCAGUGCCAGCACUGAAGGCAGAGGCAGAUAGAUCUCUGAGCCUAAGGCCAGUCUGAUCUACACAGUAAGUUCUAGAACAGUCAGCUACAUAGUGAGACCUAUCUCAAUAAAUAAAUAAAUCAUUGAA
This is a long non-coding RNA of Arvicola amphibius (Eurasian water vole), 2151 nucleotides long. RefSeq lists it as uncharacterized. Lineage: Eukaryota; Metazoa; Chordata; Mammalia; Rodentia; Cricetidae. The record is from RefSeq and is a predicted model, not a curated record. The transcript is spliced from 2 exons.